AUGUGUGUGAAGAGAGGCUCAUCUAUGCAUCAAAGACACACAAUCCUUCAAUUAUCAUUGUCUGUCAUAUUUGGUGAUUCAACCCUUAAAUAUGUCUGUGAAGAAAGGUUUCUAACAGAGCUAGACAGAUCCUGCGCUGAGCUUUGCCAUAAGAGGAGCCCAUCAGUUUUAAGAGAAAAGUCCUACCAUGAGAUGGCAGAGUACGACUUCAAAAAAGUAGUUGGAGAAAUGUCAAACCGCUGCCCACUUCUCUACAAAGUGCUAACUACAGUUGCAAAAAAGCCACCAGACACUGUGGAGGCACCAAUCUCCCUCUUAUAUGGGGUACUUAUGUACCAAAGAAACCGAGAGCUAAGUCUUGUCCAAAGGGUCAACACCAUUCUUCUCACAGAAGGAAAUGCAAAGACACAGCUGAUGAAUCGUUGUCAGCGUCUUGGCUUUGGACUUUCCCAAAGGAGCAAAUAAAACUUGCUUGAUGUUGUAGGUGGACAUUUUACAGACAAAGUUGUACAAGCAGUCAAAGAUGGAAAGAGACUCCAAGGGACAGGUGAUAAUUGGGAUUGCAGGGUUAGGGCACAUGACAUGCGCAGUGACAAUCAGAAUAAGGACCUGUAUCACUUUGCCUCAAACUUAAUCAUUGAGAGAAUUCCAACAGAAGGCAUGUCCCAGAAGGCUCCACAGAGAGAUAUCAAGACCCUUCCAAACAAGGCCUUCCUGCUUGAUGAAAAUGAGGUUACAAAGCUGCGAGAAGACUUCAAGGUACUGGUUGCACGUGUCCUUAUUGCUGCUAUACCAGCCCUCCACUUCCUUAAAUCUGUGGUGCCAUCACACAUACAACACAAAUACCAGGAAGAGAUGAGCAAGAAGACAGACAUCCUCCCUCUUCCUCUACAGCUCAAAGAUGAGAAGAAAUAUAGUGAUGUUGUAGACAUACUAUGUAUAUAUGAGGACACAAUUGAAAUGGUCUACAAAGAAGCUGGAAAGAUUGUUGUCCCAGACCAUGCUGGACCUGCCCAGCCAGGUGGUCUUUGUGAUGUUCAGUCAGAACCAGACCAACCUGCAGCCCAUGUGAUCAGGGAGGAACUAGAUGACCACAUGUUAGGAAUAACAGUUCCUUUCAGAGGAGACCAGCUCACCCGUGUCAGGUUUGCUGGAGCAAAAGAUCUGAGAGCUGGUUGCCACACCGCAAAAGACCGAUUUGAUCAUUGUUCACCAUUUACUUGUAUACAGAAAAAUCUCUACUCAGCAGAGUCCAUCCGAGAGAUUGGGACACUGAAAUUCUUCAGGGAAAAGUACAACCGCCGAAACGUUACUCCAGAGAAAGUAACAAGGUCAUAUGAAGGGUGUGAGCAAUUUCUAUUGAGUGUUGGCAAAGCAUACAUCAUAGAGGCUGGCAUAGAAUUCUUUGGGAUGGACACCACCGACAGCCAGCCAACCAGGCACAUCCCACCUGCAAGGAUCCUCCAUCAUACAAAAACAGAAAAAUUGGGCUACUAUGACAAUGUGAUAGGAGCUUUUGUUGAUGAAUAUGUCAUGGCAGACCCUGAUGCUGAGCUUGUGGGUCAGACCAGAGGGCUAGAGAAGAGUAGAGAGCAAAUGAUUCAAAGCAGCUACUCCAAGUAUGCUGUGGAAAGGCUCACCAGUAUUGCACAAUUAGAGGGCUUCCUUUGCAAGCUACCUUUCCAGCAGGGAGUCAACCACUUUUUAAAGCCCCAUAAUGCUUUUAAUAACAUUUUUACAAUCCUUUAUUUCCAGGCUCUCCUGUCAGAGGAAACCGCACAUCGCGUCAAAUGGGGACGAUCCGUGAACUGGUCUGGUGGGAGAGGGAGGAACAGCACAAGAAAUCUGUAACAAGACGAGCAAGAACAUCGUUAAGAGCAUGGGGGCUAACAAGACAGAGAAGGCCAUGGUCAGAGCCU
Molecule: RNA transcript, 1919 nt
Organism: Nematostella vectensis (starlet sea anemone)
Lineage: Eukaryota; Metazoa; Cnidaria; Anthozoa; Actiniaria; Edwardsiidae
Exons: 6
Source: RefSeq, a predicted model, not a curated record